Molecule: ribosomal RNA, 465 nt
Filed under: uncultured Klebsiella sp.
Lineage: Bacteria; Pseudomonadati; Pseudomonadota; Gammaproteobacteria; Enterobacterales; Enterobacteriaceae
Description: bacterial SSU rRNA
Rfam family: Bacterial small subunit ribosomal RNA
Source: RNAcentral
CCUACGGGUGGCAGCAGUGGGGAAUAUUGCACAAUGGGCGCAAGCCUGAUGCAGCCAUGCCGCGUGUGUGAAGAAGGCCUUCGGGUUGUAAAGCACUUUCAGCGGGGAGGAAGGCGGUGAGGUUAAUAACCUCAUCGAUUGACGUUACCCGCAGAAGAAGCACCGGCUAACUCCGUGCCAGCAGCCCCGGUAAUACGGAGGGUGCAAGCGUUAAUCGGAAUUACUGGGCGUAAAGCGCACGCAGGCGGUCUGUCAAGUCGGAUGUGAAAUCCCCGGGCUCAACCUGGGAACUGCAUUCGAAACUGGCAGGCUAGAGUCUUGUAGAGGGGGGUAGAAUUCCAGGUGUAGCGGUGAAAUGCGUAGAGAUCUGGAGGAAUACCGGUGGCGAAGGCGGCCCCCUGGACAAAGACUGACGCUCAGGUGCGAAAGCGUGGGGAGCAAACAGGAUUAGAUACCCGGGUAGUC